This 878-nucleotide ribosomal RNA is filed under the name Pseudocercospora heteropyxidicola. RNAcentral describes it as "partial large subunit ribosomal RNA". It matches the Rfam family "Eukaryotic large subunit ribosomal RNA", at positions 110 to 1015 of the family's 3401-position model. The record is from RNAcentral. Lineage: Eukaryota; Fungi; Ascomycota; Dothideomycetes; Mycosphaerellales; Mycosphaerellaceae.
CAAAUUUGUAAAUCUGGCGCAAGCCCGAGUUGUAAUUUGUAGAGGAUGCUUCUGGGUAGCGGCCGGUCUAAGUUCCUUGGAACAGGACGUCAUAGAGGGUGAGAAUCCCGUAUGUGACUGGCUUGCACCCUCCACGUAGCUCCUUCGACGAGUCGAGUUGUUUGGGAAUGCAGCUCUAAAUGGGAGGUAAAUUUCUUCUAAAGCUAAAUACCGGCCAGAGACCGAUAGCGCACAAGUAGAGUGAUCGAAAGAUGAAAAGCACUUUGGAAAGAGAGUUAAAAAGCACGUGAAAUUGUUGAAAGGGAAGCGCCCGCAACCAGACUUUGCGGCGGUGUUCCGCCGGUCUUCUGACCGGUUUAUUCGCCGCCGUGAGGCCAUCAUCGUCUGGGACCGCUGGAUAAGACCUUAGGAAUGUAGCUUCCCUCGGGAAGUGUUAUAGCCUCUGGUGAUGCAGCGCGUCUCGGGCGAGGUCCGCGCUUCGGCAAGGAUGAUGGCGUAAUGGUUGUCGGCGGCCCGUCUUGAAACACGGACCAAGGAGUCUAACAUCUAUGCGAGUGUUCGGGUGUCAAACCCCUACGCGUAAUGAAAGUGAACGGAGGUGGGAACUUUUUGUGCACCAUCGACCGAUCCUGAUGUCCUCGGAUGGAUUUGAGUAAGAGCAUAGCUGUUGGGACCCGAAAGAUGGUGAACUAUGCCUGAAUAGGGUGAAGCCAGAGGAAACUCUGGUGGAGGCUCGCAGCGGUUCUGACGUGCAAAUCGAUCGUCAAAUUUGGGUAUAGGGGCGAAAGACUAAUCGAACCAUUGAUUUACGGCCGAUUUCGGCUGUGAUGAUCCCCUAACUUAAGAGGUUAGCGGAAAGUCAACUAGGUGGUUAAGAG